UGAAGGGGCUUAGAUUUUCUUAAUGUUCUGUACGUUCCCCAGCAGCUCGGCAACAGGACGUUGCCGAGAGUGAGAGCUGAGCCAUGGAUGGCGAAUCUCGAAUGGCUGAGUCAAGUAUAGACACAUUUGUCAGAACAUUUAGAAAAUCUUAUCCCCGUA
RNAcentral lists this non-coding RNA (159 nucleotides) under uncultured Agathobacter sp. Lineage: Bacteria; Bacillati; Bacillota; Clostridia; Lachnospirales; Lachnospiraceae. The record is from RNAcentral.